RNAcentral lists this ribosomal RNA (457 nucleotides) under Enterococcus faecium SD2A-2. Its description in RNAcentral is "bacterial SSU rRNA". It matches the Rfam family "Bacterial small subunit ribosomal RNA", at positions 8 to 443 of the family's 1533-position model. The record is from RNAcentral. Lineage: Bacteria; Bacillati; Bacillota; Bacilli; Lactobacillales; Enterococcaceae.
AGAGUUUGAUCCUGGCUCAGGACGAACGCUGGCGGCGUGCCUAAUACAUGCAAGUCGUACGCUUCUUUUUCCACCGGAGCUUGCUCCACCGGAAAAAGAAGAGUGGCGAACGGGUGAGUAACACGUGGGUAACCUGCCCAUCAGAAGGGGAUAACACUUGGAAACAGGUGCUAAUACCGUAUAACAAUCGAAACCGCAUGGUUUUGAUUUGAAAGGCGCUUUCGGGUGUCGCUGAUGGAUGGACCCGCGGUGCAUUAGCUAGUUGGUGAGGUAACGGCUCACCAAGGCCACGAUGCAUAGCCGACCUGAGAGGGUGAUCGGCCACAUUGGGACUGAGACACGGCCCAAACUCCUACGGGAGGCAGCAGUAGGGAAUCUUCGGCAAUGGACGAAAGUCUGACCGAGCAACGCCGCGUGAGUGAAGAAGGUUUUCGGAUCGUAAAACUCUGUUGUUAGA